RNAcentral lists this long non-coding RNA (664 nucleotides) under Pan troglodytes (chimpanzee). Its description in RNAcentral is "long non-coding RNA NONPTRT002331". The record is from RNAcentral. Lineage: Eukaryota; Metazoa; Chordata; Mammalia; Primates; Hominidae.
CGGGGGUAGGGCUGGUGGCCGCCAUGGUUGGCCACGGAAGAACAGUAACAGUUGUCCACAGAACAGACGAGAAUCUUGCGGCCGCCAUACUGGGGGAGCAUGGGCUGCUGGGCGGCGGAGCCAUUGGGAUACUGCGAUGGGGGGAACACGGGGCUUGAGUGCACUGGUUGGGCGCCGCCCGGCAGGGCCACCAAGUGCUGCGUGGAGCUGCAGGGCCCCAGGGGCUGCCCAGACUGGCCCUCACCGCUGGCUGUGCCCGCCGCCCCGUACUGGCCGCCCACAGGGCCCGACGACGUCUCUAGGAAACUGGCCUCUGGGAAGGCCGUUGAGUGCUUGCGCUUUUCCGCCCCAGAGCUGCUCACGCCGCAAGGGUACAGGGGGACACUCUGCAGGAAGGGCACCGGCGUGCUGAAGGGGCCUGUGGAGAGUUGGGGCAAAAGUCGCCAAAGCUCCCACCCCAAGCAACCCAGGCCUCCUCUCCCUGGGUUGGACCUGGGGACCAUUGACACCUAGAGGCCCAAGAAUGUUAUAUCUCAGAUGAUGCUUGCUCCUCUGCCACUAGGAGGUCCUCGUCCAGCAGCUGGUGCAGCUUCUCGUACUGCAGCCGAACUUCCUCCUUCAGUUGGUUCACUUUCUCCUGCGAGUACAGAGGGCAGGAGUGGGC